UGGGGAAUAUUGCACAAUGGGCGCAAGCCUGAUGCAGCAACGCCGCGUGAGUGAAGAAGUAUUUCGGUAUGUAAAGCUCUAUCGGCAGGGAAGAAAGGCCCUUUAAGGGAGAUGACGGUACCUGACUAAGAAGCCCCGGCUAACUACGUGCCAGCAGCCGCGGUAAUACGUAGGGGGCAAGCGUUAUCCGGAUUUACUGGGUGUAAAGGGAGCGCAGACGGCAGUGCAAGUCUGAUGUGAAAGCCCGGGGCUCAACCCCGGAACUGCAUUGGAAACUGUACAGCUCGAGUGUCGGAGAGGUAAGCGGAAUUCCUAGUGUAGCGGUGAAAUGCGUAGAUAUUAGGAGGAACACCGGUGGCGAAGGCGGCUUACUGGACUGUAACUGACACUGAGGCUCGAAAGCGUGGGGAGCAAACAGG
RNAcentral lists this ribosomal RNA (419 nucleotides) under uncultured prokaryote. RNAcentral's name for it is "bacterial SSU rRNA". It matches the Rfam family "Bacterial small subunit ribosomal RNA", at positions 355 to 776 of the family's 1533-position model. The record is from RNAcentral. RNAcentral also lists the same sequence under 1 other name.